GACGAACGCUGGCGGCGUGCUUAACACAUGCAAGUCGAACGGAAAGGCCCUGCUUUUGUGGGGUGCUCGAGUGGCGAACGGGUGAGUAACACGUGAGUAACCUGCCCUUGACUUUGGGAUAACUUCAGGAAACUGGGGCUAAUACCGGAUAGGAGCUCCUGCUGCAUGGUGGGGGUUGGAAAUUUUCGGCGGUUGGGGAUGGACUCGCGGCUUAUCAGCUUGUUGGUGGGGUAGUGGCUUACCCAGGCUUUGACGGGUAGCCGGCCUGAGAGGGUGACCGGCCACAUUGGGACUGAGAUACGGCCCAGACGCCUACGGGAGGCAGCAGUGGGGAAUAUUGCACAAUGGGCGGAAGCCUGAUGCAGCAACGCCGCGGGCGGGAUGACGGCCGUCGGGUUGUAAACCGCUUUCGCCUGUGACGAAGCGUGAGUGACGGUAAUGGGUAAAGAAGCACCGGCUAGCUACGUG
This 468-nucleotide ribosomal RNA is filed under the name uncultured bacterium. Its description in RNAcentral is "partial 16S ribosomal RNA". It matches the Rfam family "Bacterial small subunit ribosomal RNA", at positions 28 to 507 of the family's 1533-position model. The record is from RNAcentral.